CCUGCGCGGGCUAUACAUGCAAGUCGAGCGAAUGGAUUAAGAGCUUGCUCUUAUGAAGUUAGCGGCGGACGGGUGAGUAACACGUGGGUAACCUGCCCAUAAGACUGGGAUAACUCCGGGAAACCGGGGCUAAUACCGGAUAACAUUUUGAACCGCAUGGUUCAAAAUUGAAAGGCGGCUUCGGCUGUCACUUAUGGAUGGACCCGCGUCGCAUUAGCUAGUUGGUGAGGUAACGGCUCACCAAGGCAACGAUGCGUAGCCGACCUGAGAGGGUGAUCGGCCACACUGGGACUGAGACACGGCCCACACUCCUACGGGAGGCAGCAGUAGGGAAUCUUCCGCAAUGGACGAAAGUCUGACGGAGCAACGCCGCGUGAGUGAUGAAGGCUUUCGGGUCGUAAAACUCUGUUGUUAGGGAAGAACAAGUGCUAGUUGAAUAAGCUGGCACCUUGACGGUACCUAACCAGAAAGCCACGGCUAACUACGUGCCAGCAGCCGCGGUAAUACGUAGGUGGCAAGCGUUAUCCGGAAUUAUUGGGCGUAAAGCGCGCGCAGGUGGUUUCUUAAGUCUGAUGUGAAAGCCCACGGCUCAACCGUGGAGGGUCAUUGGAAACUGGGAGACUUGAGUGCAGAAGAGGAAAGUGGAAUUCCAUGUGUAGCGGGAAUAUCCCUUAAAAAAAA
RNAcentral lists this ribosomal RNA (681 nucleotides) under Bacillus cereus. RNAcentral describes it as "bacterial SSU rRNA". It matches the Rfam family "Bacterial small subunit ribosomal RNA", at positions 36 to 699 of the family's 1533-position model. The record is from RNAcentral. Lineage: Bacteria; Bacillati; Bacillota; Bacilli; Caryophanales; Bacillaceae. RNAcentral also lists the same sequence under 1 other name.